Molecule: ribosomal RNA, 1170 nt
Filed under: Triticum aestivum (bread wheat)
Lineage: Eukaryota; Viridiplantae; Streptophyta; Magnoliopsida; Poales; Poaceae
Description: partial small subunit ribosomal RNA
Source: RNAcentral
AUGGAGCUUGCUAUAUCUGCAGUAGCAGGUGAACUCGUGAGCCGAUUCGUUUCCUUCCUCGCCAACAGGUACCUCCACUCUAGCUGCCGGGCACAGUGGGAAGAGAAGCAGCUCAAGAAGCUGCAGCUGCUGCUCCUGAGAGCUCACACGGUCGUCGAGGAGGCGGAUGGGCGAUACAUCACCAACUCCAGGAUGUUGGCACAGCUCAGCAUGCUCGCGGACGCCAUGUACCGAGGCUACUGGGCACUAGGUGCGUCCAGGUACAUCUCACUCGAAGAGUCCAUGGAGGAGGGGGUGGUUCCCAAUCCAUCUCCUCACAAACGUUUUUGCAUGGUUCAUGGAAGUGCUAGAAAGAACAAGGCCACAUCCCUCGUCGACGUGCAGGGCGCGUUGGAGAGCUUGGAGGAUGUAGUCGCUGGCAUGACGGAGUUUGUUGUUCUUUUGGGUGGAUGCGACCGUAUGCUGCGUCGACCAUACGAUGCGUAUCUAUACAAUGACAACAUCAUGUUUGGACGUCACGCCGAGAAGCAAAAGCUCCUGAACUUCAUGUUGCGGCACAACUCUCCUGGUGGUGGUGCACCGGCUGUCCUUCCGAUCAUUGGUGCUUCUGAAGUCGGGAAGAGGACUCUGGUUGCCCAUGUAUGCAAGGACGAGAGGCUCAGCUCACACUUCUCUUCAAUUCGGUACCUGAGUGGAAAUUCCUUCAGUAGAAUCGCAGACCAUGGUAGUAUCAUGUCAGGGAAGACACUAGUAGUUGUUGAGCUUGUCUCAGAUGUGGAGGAGGAGUAUUGGGCCAAGUUCUGCUCAUUCGUGGUGAGCAUGGACAGUGGAAACAAGGUGGUCAUCAUCAGCCGGCUUAAAAGUACAGAGCGACUUGGAACAGUGGAGCCAAUCUUCCUCAGCACCCUGUCAUACGAGGAGUUCAGCUACCUAUUCAAGACACUCGCGUUCGGGAGCGCGAAUCCAGCACAGCACCCGCGGUUAGCGUGGAUAGCAGACAAGUUGGCCAGGGAAUUCCAUUCAGAAUGGUCCCUCACCGCUGCGAACAUAUUUGCAGACUUGAUGAGAAGGAAUCUGAACGUUUGUUUCUGGGCCGGCAUGCUGAGCAGGCUGAGAAGGGUCGUUGAGAGGAACCUCUCCAUGUUUGGGGAGCACCCGAGGUUUCUCGUU